Molecule: ribosomal RNA, 339 nt
Filed under: uncultured Glomeromycotina
Lineage: Eukaryota; Fungi; Glomeromycota
Description: eukaryotic LSU rRNA
Source: RNAcentral
ACCUUUUGAGUUUGUUCUUGUGGGUUUCGAGGAGUUUAAAAGCCUUCGGAUUUGCUAGGAUUGGGCUCUUUUGGUGUACUUUCUCGUACGGUUAGUCAACAUCGGUUUUGAAUGUCAUAAAAUGACUGGAGGAAUGUGGCUUCGAUCUCGCAUCGAAGUGUUAUAACCUUUGGUAGAUGUGAUGUUCGAGACCGAGGAUUGCAACGGAUACCUUCUGGGCUAUUCGUCUGAUCUCUGAUACGUUGCCUUGAUGUCGAAAGCGUGCUUAUGAUGUUAGGGUAUUACGGUCAAAAGGUUAGAACGGAUUAAAUUCGUUAAGGAUGUUGACGUAAUGACUUU